Molecule: ribosomal RNA, 406 nt
Filed under: uncultured bacterium
Lineage: Bacteria
Description: partial 16S ribosomal RNA
Rfam family: Bacterial small subunit ribosomal RNA
Source: RNAcentral
GACGAACGCUGGCGGCGUGCCUAAUACAUGCAAGUAGAACGAGCGGCGGACGGGUGCGUAAUGUCUGGGAAACUGCCUGAUGGAGGGGGAUCACUUCUGGAAACGGUCGCUAAUACCGCAUACCCUCAGAUGUCCCCAGAUGGGAUUAGCUAGUAGGUGGGGUAAUGGCUCACCUAGGCGACGAUCCCUAGCUGGUCUGAGAGGAUGACCAGCCACACUGGAACUGAGACACGGUCCAGACUCCUACGGGAGGCAGCAGUGGGGAAUAUUGCACAAUGGGCGCAAGCCUGAUGCAGCCAUGCCGCGUGUGUGAAGAAGGCCUUCGGGUUGUAAAGCACUUUCAGCGAGGAGGCGUUACUCGCAGAAGAAGCACCGGCUAACUCCGUGCCAGCAGCCGCGGUAAUAC